Molecule: long non-coding RNA, 1490 nt
Organism: Oncorhynchus tshawytscha (Chinook salmon)
Lineage: Eukaryota; Metazoa; Chordata; Actinopteri; Salmoniformes; Salmonidae
Source: Ensembl
GCCAAAUUACUGUGCACAGAGAAAUGAUUGCUGUCGGAGGACUAUUCUUUCCAUCGCGCUCUUUCUUUCUCUCGCGCCUCUGCUUUCUGAAAUGUUCAGGCCUCAGUGGGCAAAUUAUACACUUUGUGGUGCUCUGAAAGAACAGCUGCGGAACGGAUCUGCUGAGGAAAGGCCAGCCUAUCUGCUCCAAUGGAAGUGGAUAUCAUGUAAUGUGGGAAUAAUUACUUUGAUCGUGUCUAUGGGAGAGAAUUAGAAACCGUCUGUUAAAAACAAUUGACAUUACAGUAUGAUGAAUCAGAAACUAUGUUGAACUCACUAACCAAACAUGAACACUUGGAGUUGAAAUGGACUUGAACAAAAACACCAGAAUAGAGCAUUUCUGUUUGCUGUACGCCAUUAUAAUACCCCAGUAGGUGAAGGGUGCAUGAAUCAAAUAGCCUUUAGAGAUUCGCAUAUAAUACUCCAUAAGUCAAAUAAAGUUUUGAAAAAAAAACAUUAAGGAGCGUCAAAGGGAACAUGGUCAUAUCCAGAAUCGCAUACGCAAGAUACCAUUGCUUUGACCGCUACUUGAAAUUAACUUGACAUCUUUAUGGAAGAAAGGAGCGCUGACGCUCUGAGUUUGUCUACAAUAGAUUUCCACAACAUCCACUAGUGUCAUUGGCCCGAAGCACAAUGAUUACAUUGUCAGGAGGGACACUGGAGAAAGAGAGCUUAUCAGGACGUUAUGGGUGAGCAGGCACGAACAAGUCAGACGGACCUUUCACCUCAACUGAAUAGAGUGGGAGCCCUGUCUCCGUCCAGACUGACUGACGUCGCGCUAUCUGACCGCGAUCAGCAGACUCCAGGAAUCAACUAACCUUAGUGAGACACUCCAGUUCACCAACCACUCACACAGCUCCAUUAGACACCUACACCACCCGAUGCUACAGGAAGGCCAUAAAGAUCAUCAAGGACAUCAACCACCCGAGCCACUGCCUGUUCACCCCGCUGUCAUCCAGAAGGCGAGGCAACCACACGUACCUACGGGGGAAGAAUGGCCAGCCACACAGGAUGGUGAUUUUUACUAAGGAGGAGAAGGAGGCCGUGCUGACCGAGAUGCAUGCUGGCCACUUCGGAGGGAAGCCAUGGUGACCAAAAUCAGCCUACGCUUCUUCUCAUGGGGAAUUGUCAAGGGGGUGGACAGCUGGGCAAGUGAAAUAAGCUUUUGUUUAUCAAUCUCAUUAUUUAUCAAUCUCUGUCAUAUAUGAAAUUAUUAUGAUUUCAAUGAAUGUCAUAUCAGAGAGCAUGCAAUCUCUCAAUUUGUCACUUUUUGCUUAAAGGUCAGUACCCUGUCUAACCUGCUAGAAGUUUGAAAGUGUGAAGACUGUGUCCCCGGAGUUGAAGCCCAUCAAAGUUGUUUCACCAUGGCAUAUGAUUGGUGUAGUGUCCCAAUUCAAAUUUUGCCCUGAUAAGUUGUUUUGUAAUGGUUGCUUUAUUCGACCACAGCAGAG